RNAcentral lists this ribosomal RNA (466 nucleotides) under uncultured bacterium. RNAcentral describes it as "partial 16S ribosomal RNA". It matches the Rfam family "Bacterial small subunit ribosomal RNA", at positions 28 to 507 of the family's 1533-position model. The record is from RNAcentral.
GAUGAACGCUGGCGGCGUGCUUAACACAUGCAAGUCGAACGAUGAAGCCCAGCUUGCUGGGUGGAUUAGUGGCGAACGGGUGAGUAACACGUGAGUAACCUGCCCUUAACUCUGGGAUAAGCCUGGGAAACUGGGUCUAGUAACGGAUAGGAGCGUUCACCGCAUGGUGGGUGUUGGAGAGAUUUAUCGGUUUUGGAUGGACUCGCGGCUUAUCAGCUCGUUGGUGAGGUAUUGGCUCACCAAGGGGACGACGGGUAGCCGGCCUGAGAGGGUGACCGGCCACACUGGGACUGAGACACGGCCCAGACUCCUACGGGAGGCAGCAGUGGGGAAUAUUGCACAAUGGGCGCAAGCCUGAUGCAGCGACGCCGCGUGAGGGAUGACGGCCUUCGGGUUGUAAACCUCUUUCAGUAGGGAAGAAGCGAAAGUGACGGUACCUGCAGAAGAAGCACCGGCUAACUACGUG